This 393-nucleotide ribosomal RNA is filed under the name uncultured bacterium. RNAcentral describes it as "bacterial SSU rRNA". It matches the Rfam family "Bacterial small subunit ribosomal RNA", at positions 362 to 758 of the family's 1533-position model. The record is from RNAcentral.
UAUUGCGCAAUGGACGAAAGUCUGACGCAGCGACGCCGCGUGUGGGAUGAAGCUCUUCGGGGUGUAAACCACUGUUGCCCGGGAAGAAUAUCCUGAUUCAUCAGGAUUGACGGUACCGGGUGAGGAAGCACCGGCUAACUCUGUGCCAGCAGCCGCGGUAAUACAGAGGGUGCGAGCGUUGUCCGGAAUCACUGGGCAUAAAGGGCGCGUAGGUGGCUUGGUAAGUGUGCGGUGAAAGCCCGGGGCUCAACCCCGGGUCUGCCGUGCAGACUGCCUGGCUCGAGCAUAGUAGAGGCAGGUGGAAUUCCGGGUGUAGCGGUGGAAUGCGUAGAGAUCCGGAAGAACACCGGGGCGAAGGCGGCCUGCUGGGCUAUUGCGACACGAGGCGCGACA